This is a long non-coding RNA of Symphalangus syndactylus (siamang), 483 nucleotides long. RefSeq lists it as uncharacterized. NCBI's taxonomy places the organism in Eukaryota, Metazoa, Chordata, Mammalia, Primates, Hylobatidae. The record is from RefSeq and is a predicted model, not a curated record.
ACCUCUGGGUCUUAAGUGAAAGGAAGGAGACCAGCUUUUCUGUCUACAGAUGUAUAUACCCUCUGAUGGGGCCACCUGGGGAGGCUGGGCCAGGAGCCCAGAUGUACUGCCGCAUGAUACAUCAAAAAAGGAUGCACCCAGGCUUAGCUGCAGAAAGGAAGAUGUUCUAGAAAAGGGUCACUCUUCAACUUAGAUUGAGAAACAAGGAAUAGAGCCACACAAAAUAAAGCUGCUACAGCCCAGUACCAGCCAACAACUGCAGAACUGCAGGACAAGUCAUGAGUUAAACUGCUGGAUCAUAUGGUAUGCUAUAGUUUGAAUGUUUGACCCUCCAAACCACAAGUUGAAAUCUGAUCCCCGGUGUUGGAGCAGCCAUCCUACAUUCUGAGGGGACAGCCUGAGGACCAAGUCACACACUGAGGCUGGAAAAAUCUAAGUCUCUGAUGACACUGUUGAGCCACUGAAUAUACAACCCUAGCGCCA